RNAcentral lists this ribosomal RNA (60 nucleotides) under Rhynchostegium muelleri. RNAcentral describes it as "partial 26S ribosomal RNA". It matches the Rfam family "Eukaryotic large subunit ribosomal RNA", at positions 1 to 59 of the family's 3401-position model. Lineage: Eukaryota; Viridiplantae; Streptophyta; Bryopsida; Hypnales; Brachytheciaceae. The record is from RNAcentral.
CAGACCUCUAAUCGGAAAAGACUACCCGCUGAGUUUAAGCAUAUCACUAAGCGGAGGAAA